GUUAGGAAAAGGAAGAAAUGGGUAUCUAAGAGCAGUGGCAUUGGAACAUGAAGCAAAACCCAUAGUCUUGUUCCCUAUAUAUUCCGGUGUCAAGAUUUGUUAUGGGGUUUUCGCAGUGCCUCCUAUGCAUAGUGUUCUUAUGUGCUCCUUCCUCUUCCGUUUAGCU
Molecule: microRNA precursor, 166 nt
Filed under: Triticum aestivum (bread wheat)
Lineage: Eukaryota; Viridiplantae; Streptophyta; Magnoliopsida; Poales; Poaceae
Description: MIR2118 microRNA precursor family
Rfam family: MIR2118 microRNA precursor family
Source: Rfam by way of RNAcentral